Malaclemys terrapin pileata is the source of this 236-nucleotide long non-coding RNA. RefSeq lists it as uncharacterized. The record is from RefSeq and is a predicted model, not a curated record. The transcript has 3 exons. Lineage: Eukaryota; Metazoa; Chordata; Testudines; Emydidae.
UUUACAACUAAAUGGAGUAUUUUGAACAACGGACUGAGGACCAUCCAAUCUUUUGGAAGUUACCAGAGAGACUUUUGCAAGCCAGCAUGAUCACUGCUACGAUCCUGAUCUAUGAACACUGACAAUCACUUGCUCUCAAAUGGACUUGUGAAGGAGACAUCCUAGCCAGCACAAAAACCAGAGAUGAAGGGAAUCCUGCUGCUUUGUGAAACAGAUUUAAUACACAGAGAGACAAG